CCGUUGUUCGAGGGAGCGGUGAGUGUUUGGGUGCACACAAACUGCAAGGACCACACGAGGCAGUUUCACUCUUUUCUAACACUGGUUCUCUUUUGUAGAGGUAAAUCCACCUCCCCUCCCUGCCAGCAUUUGAAUGCCCAAAACCAGGUGUGUUUGUUAAGUGUCCAGCCUAUGAAAAAAAAAACCAACCCACAGCCUUUUUGGUGAUGAAGCUGGCCUGCAAUUCAGACUGAUGUAAGGACAAAGCCACUGACCGGAGCACAUCACUGAACUGAAAACGAAUGAGUGUUGUCUGCUGGGUGUGGAAUGGUUGUCACUGGGACUGCAUCCAGGGAUCCUCACGGAUCUCCAGGACACCUGACACAGGCACGUGCCACUGGAACCAGCCCUCUUCAUGUCUCCAGAUGCCUCAGCUCUGGUCUGUGGAGAACGAACACAAGAGGGAAAGGAUGGAAGAGAGGAUGGAUGAAGGCAGGUACGUGGUGACCCAGCAGAGGUAGGUUAUGACAGAGCAGGU
RNAcentral lists this long non-coding RNA (517 nucleotides) under Calidris pugnax (ruff). RNAcentral describes it as "lncRNA (ENSCPUG00000016435.1)". Lineage: Eukaryota; Metazoa; Chordata; Aves; Charadriiformes; Scolopacidae. The record is from RNAcentral.